RNAcentral lists this long non-coding RNA (574 nucleotides) under Lepisosteus oculatus (spotted gar). RNAcentral's name for it is "lncRNA (ENSLOCG00000022664.1)". Lineage: Eukaryota; Metazoa; Chordata; Actinopteri; Semionotiformes; Lepisosteidae. The record is from RNAcentral.
AAAAGACUGGGUCUUAAUCUGCCAAACCAUUAAUUACCUGCUUUCUUCUCAUUACUCAAGCUUGUGUGAAGCAUGCUUUCUAUGAAAUGGGACAAUGUCACCGACAGUAUUUUUACUAGAAAACAGAAACAGCCUUUUCUGUUUUCUUUCUCCUAGAUGAUAGCUAGAUCUUUAUUUUUUAAAAGCUGGAGACAAAAAGCACACGCUAGGUAAAACUCUUUGGGAAACUGCAGCUGGGGAAACUGCUGCUCCGGGAGCGAGCCGGGAGGCCGAGCAAAAACCUCAGACGCUCGUCCCCGCGGAGGGGGUAAUCUGCAGUCUUCUCUGCCAGCGGGGUGUGUCUCGGUGCCAGCAGCGCCCCCCGCGCCAGGCAGACUGAUCCUCCCGCCUCUCGGCAAGGCCCUCGCCUAACAGACCCACCGGCAGGGUCUCAGCAGCUGGGGGACAGGUGGGGGACAGGUGGGGCUCCUGGGACUGUGCACAAGCCAGCCGGUCUCCAGCAGCAGCUGUUCAGGUGCUCGUACUCUGUAAAAGAGCAAAGACAAGAAAAACACCUGGGGUGAGAUCCUGCCAA